This 467-nucleotide ribosomal RNA is filed under the name uncultured bacterium. RNAcentral's name for it is "partial 16S ribosomal RNA". It matches the Rfam family "Bacterial small subunit ribosomal RNA", at positions 28 to 507 of the family's 1533-position model. The record is from RNAcentral.
GACGAACGCUGGCGGCGUGCUUAACACAUGCAAGUCGAACGGAAAGGCCUCUUUCGGGGGGUACUCGCGUGGCGAACGGGUGAGUAACACGCGAGUAAACUGCCCUUGUAUUUGGGAUAACUUCCGGAAACUGGGGCUAAUACCGGAUAGGAGCUCUUGCUGCCCGGAGGGGGUUGGAGAGUUUCGGGGGUUGGGGGUGGGCUCGCGGCUUAUCCGCUUGUUGGUGGGGUAGUGGCUUACCAAGGCUUUGCCGGGUAGCCGGACAGUGAGGGUGACCGGCCACAUUGGGACCUAGGUACGGCCCAGACACCUACUGGUGGGAGCAGUGGGGAAUAUUGCACAAGGGGUGGAAGCCGGGUGCAGCAACGCCUGGGGCGGGAUGACGGCCUUCGGGGUGAAAACCGAAUUUGCUCAUGACGAAGCAUUGUGUGACGGUAGUGGGUAAAGAAGCACCGGCUAACUACGUG